GAUGAACGCUGGCGGCGUGCUUAACACAUGCAAGUCGAACGAAGCGUAUUCAAGUGAAGUUUUCGGACAAAGCGAGGAUAUGACUUAGUGGCGGACGGAUGAGUAACGCGUGGGCAACCUGCCUUUCACAGCGGGAUAACAGAGGGAAGCUUCUGCUAAUACCGCAUAUACCUUUAUAACGCAUGUUAGGGAGGGGAAAGAAUUAUCGGUGAGAGAUGGGCCCGCGUCCGAUUAGAUAGUUGGUGGGGUAACAGCCUACCAAGUCAACGAUCGGUAGCCGGCUUGAGAGAGUGAACGGCCACAUUGGGACUGAGACACGGCCCAAACUCCUACGGGAGGCAGCAGUGGGGGAUAUUGGACAAUGGGGGCAACCCUGAUCCAGCGACGCCGCGUGAGUGAAGAAGUAUUUCGGUACGUAAAGCUCUAUCAGCAGGGAAGAAAGAAGACGGUACCUGACUAAGAAGCCCCGGCUAACUACGUGCCAGCAGCCGCGGUAAUACGUAGGGGGCAAGCGUUAUCCGGAAUUACUGGGUGUAAAGGGAGCGUAGACGGUUAAACAAGUCUGAAGUGAAAUGCCGGGGCUCAACCCCGGAGCUGCUUUGGGAACUGUAGAACUGGAGUGUCGGAGGGGUAAGCGGAAUUCCCAGUGUAGCGGUGAAAUGCGUAGAUAUUGGGAGGAACACCGGCGGCGAAGGCGGCCUACUGGACGACAACUGACGUUGAGGCUCGAAGGCGUGGGUAGCAAACAGG
RNAcentral lists this ribosomal RNA (750 nucleotides) under uncultured Lachnospiraceae bacterium. RNAcentral's name for it is "bacterial SSU rRNA". It matches the Rfam family "Bacterial small subunit ribosomal RNA", at positions 28 to 776 of the family's 1533-position model. The record is from RNAcentral. Lineage: Bacteria; Bacillati; Bacillota; Clostridia; Lachnospirales; Lachnospiraceae.